AAGUCAACACAAAGUCAUAGGCUCUUGCUUAACCUAACAUUUUUUCCGAGUCGUUACACCUACGCUAUGUAUACAUUAGCAUGGGAUAAAAUUAUAGGGUUUCGGUCCUAUUACAUUUGCCUUCGGGAUCGAAUUAAUGAUUAACAGGGACCGUCGGGGGCAUUCGUUUUUCUUAGUCAGAGGUGAAAUUUUUAGAUUUAUGAAAGACGAACAACUGCGAAAGCAUUUUCCAAAGAUGUUUAAUUUACUUAAGAAUGAAAGUUGGGAGCUCGAAGACGAUCAUAUACCGUCCUAGUCUCAACAAAAAAUGAUGCCGACUAGGGAUUGGCGGAUGUUGCUUUUAGGACUCCGUCGGCACCUUAU
RNAcentral lists this non-coding RNA (363 nucleotides) under Solanum tuberosum (potato). RNAcentral describes it as "Eukaryotic small subunit ribosomal RNA". It matches the Rfam family "Eukaryotic small subunit ribosomal RNA", at positions 729 to 1091 of the family's 1831-position model. Lineage: Eukaryota; Viridiplantae; Streptophyta; Magnoliopsida; Solanales; Solanaceae. The record is from Rfam by way of RNAcentral.